CUAACUCCUGGGGACCUGAACAGCUCUAACAGAGUGGACCACGGGGCAGGAGACAGGAUAAAUUCCUUGCAAUUGCUGAUCCGGAGGAGGAACCAUUUGAAAGGCCUUGCUUGGUGUUGCCUAGUUGCCUCCUGAAAUGUCACGCUGCUUUGUGUGGACAUUUUCCAGCAGAGUGUGAGAAUGCCCGGAGAACAUUGCGAGUACUUAAAGCAGUGACACCCCGGUAGCAAUGAGCACACCCAGUGCCUCCAUCUUGGUCCCUAAGCACCGAGGUGCUGGAGCUUGGCUGAGGCCAGCUAUGGAGCAGGAAAAGCACAAGAUGAGCCUGGAACGUCUUUUGUGUCAGAACACAAGGAGGAUGAAAGACGAAUGGAAGUCAUCUCAAAAGAACACAGGAGCCAAGCUGAAGGGGCUUCCUCUGAACAAACGUGGCCCAAUUUGAGGCACUCCUGUGAAUUAUGGGUCCUUAGAGAUGUCCCCCCAAAAUAAAUACAGAGAGAGCGAGGAGAGGAGGGAAAGCUCUCUCUCUCCGUUUUUAAACCCAAGAAGGUGUACUUGCAUAUGUAAAAGGAGUGCUAGAACUAGAAAAGCAUUCCACAAGCUCCAGUGUAGUCAUUGAUUUAGGCAAAGAUGGUUAAUGGAUGUCAAAAUCAUUAGGUGAAAGGUCACUGGACAACUGCUCAGUGUCAAAGUAGCACUCCACAAAAUUACUUAUUUCAAAGAGAAAAAUAUACCUUUAUGAUGGAAAUACCUGGAGGUCGUCACCCCAACCAGAAGCUCAAAUAGCAGCACGCAGAGCAAGGUGACCUGGUGGAAUGUGCCUUUUGGUGUGAUGCAAUGUGGAGUCCGCACAAGCACUUAUGAGAUAUUCUUACCAAAAUUUGUUUAACCCAAAUCUAUUCAAGCGUCUAAACCCAACUUCUAGUUUAUAAGGAAUAUGAGGAUUGAGGAACAAGUGACAUAACAUCC
This 969-nucleotide long non-coding RNA is filed under the name Equus caballus (horse). Its description in RNAcentral is "lncRNA (ENSECAG00000046333.1)". The record is from RNAcentral. Lineage: Eukaryota; Metazoa; Chordata; Mammalia; Perissodactyla; Equidae.